GAUGAACGCUGGCGGCGUGCCUAAUACAUGCAAGUCGAGCGAACAGACGAGGAGCUUGCUCCUCUGACGUUAGCGGCGGACGGGUGAGUAACACGUGGAUAACCUACCUAUAAGACUGGGAUCACUUCGGGAAACCGGAGCUAAUACCGGAUAACAUGUUGAACCGCAUGGUUCAACAGUGAAAGACGGCUUUGCUGUCACUUAUAGAUGGAUCCGCGUCGCAUUAGCUAGUUGGUAAGGUAACGGCUUACCAAGGCAACGAUGCGUAGCCGACCUGAGAGGGUGAUCGGCCACACUGGAACUGAGACACGGUCCAGACUCCUACGGGAGGCAGCAGUAGGGAAUCUUCCGCAAUGGGCGAAAGCCUGACGGAGCAACGCCGCGUGAGUGAAGAAGGUCUUCGGAUCGUAAAACUCUGUUAUUAGGGAAGAACAAAUGUGUAAGUAACUAUGCACGUCUUGACGGUACCUAAUCAGAAAGCCACGGCUAACUACGUG
This 497-nucleotide ribosomal RNA is filed under the name uncultured bacterium. RNAcentral's name for it is "partial 16S ribosomal RNA". It matches the Rfam family "Bacterial small subunit ribosomal RNA", at positions 28 to 507 of the family's 1533-position model. The record is from RNAcentral.